GGCUCAGGAUGAACGCUAGCGGCAGGCUUAAUACAUGCAAGUCGUGGGGCAGCAGGUUUGUAGCAAUACAGAUGCUGGCGACCGGCAAACGGGUGCGGAACACGUACAGAACCUUCCUUUGAGCGGGGAAUAGCCCAGAGAAAUUUGGAUUAAUACCCCAUAGUAUAAUGAAGUGGCAUCACUUUAUUAUUAAAGAUUUAUCACUCGAAGAUGGCUGUGCGGCUGAUUAGGUAGUUGGCGGGGUAAAGGCCCACCAAGCCUGCGAUCAGUAACUGGUGUGAGAGCACGACCAGUCACACGGGCACUGAGACACGGGCCCGACUCCUACGGGAGGCAGCAGUAAGGAAUAUUGGUCAAUGGAGGCAACUCUGAACCAGCCAUGCCGCGUGGAGGAUGAAGGUCCUCUGGAUUGUAAACUUCUUUUAUAUGGGACGAAAAAGGCUUUUCUAAGUCGUCUGACGGUACCAUAUGAAUAAGCACCGGCUAACUCCGUG
Molecule: ribosomal RNA, 494 nt
Filed under: uncultured bacterium
Lineage: Bacteria
Description: bacterial SSU rRNA
Rfam family: Bacterial small subunit ribosomal RNA
Source: RNAcentral